Non-coding RNA from Anolis sagrei ordinatus, 1431 nucleotides. Lineage: Eukaryota; Metazoa; Chordata; Lepidosauria; Squamata; Anolidae. The record is from RefSeq and is a predicted model, not a curated record.
CCGUUUGGAAAAACGUGGAUUCUAAGGUGCACACUUUAUUGAAGCCCCUUAAAUGAGAAAAGGCAUGUCUUAGAUUUACUGGAAUACAGUACAAAGGAAUUGCAGUAGUCCGUGUUAAGAAGGGAGGCAUAAUGCAUAGGAGAUGUUACUGUAGUUCAUGGAAUAUUGAAGUUCAUUGGGGACAAGGUAAUCAAAUUAUAUAAAUAACUUUCCCCAAGUGUAAAGGUUUUAAGACUAUUACACUGCCAUCCAAAAUAAUAUUCUGUGGAGCUAAGUUGGCUUAACUGUAAUUGUACUGUUGAAGUGACUUGUAGUAACUACUGUUGCAAAUGAUGCCAUUAAAAACAUUAUGUUAUCUUGAUUAUUACAUCACAGAUGACCAAACUAGGUUGUUACUUGUGUCCUAGUUUUAAAUCCUAGCUCUUGGGAUAAGUCAUGUUUUUAAUUAGGAGUUCUAAUUAUUCUCAAUUCUCUUAAUUUUCCCACUGAUUUGAGUGGCAAAUUUAAGCAGUCUUGUUCUACUGUUCUGUGAGUAGAGAGGGUGAUGCGGGCCUUUUAGAAGCUUCUGCAGGUUUUUCCUGCCAUUUUCUAAUUUAGACAAACAUAUUAAGAUACCUUUGAACUGCUCUUUGCCAUGAAGUUCAGUGUAAGCAGAGUAGAAGGAGAAGUCUGUCUUAUUGUAAUGCUACUGAUCUUUGAUGAAAUUAAAAAGAUUCUGAUUUUAAAACAUGUUUGAUUUGUUGAAUGAUUAUUGUAAAUGCCCCAAUCAUGAUUGUAUUAGCACUGUUACUAAACCUAAUGAAUGCAAGUGUUCAUAUGUUACUUGGAUUUGAAACAAACCCCAAAGCUCAAUUUAAAUUUUUGGUCAAAUGCAUCCUUGAUUAGCAUCUUACCAGUAUUUAUGUGUACACUAAUAAAUGUCAUCUAGUCAACACUGAGCUGGGUCACUGGAGUCCUUACGAGCUUGUUGUAGGUAAACUUGUUUUCAAAACUUGUUUCUGAUUAAUCAAGUGUUUGGGAUUCCAUCUCCCAUUAUCACUUACUAUUGCCCAUCAUAUCUGUAUCAAAUGGGAAUUGUAUUGCCAUGCAUCUUGAAGAGUUCCAGCUUGCUAUACUUUAUGUUAAGGGACUUGUAAAACACUGAUUGAGCAGAUCACAUGACUAUUGCUGGUAGGCGCUUAGAACUGUGACAGGCAAAUAAUACUAUGCUUGUAUUAUGUUAUGGUUAGAUCAGGGGUAUCAACCUCAUUUUCAUAGAGGGACACAUCAGCAAGAUGGUUGACUUUAAAGGGCUGUUCGUAAUUGUAAGACUACAAAUGUAACUACUCCUUAACUUAUUGUUAAAUAACAUGAGGCACCAUAUCCAUGUUAUUAAAAUACUGCAUAAAAUUACCUUCAGUCUAACUGUAUAAAGUAUAUAUGAAAUCAAAA